Long non-coding RNA from Centruroides sculpturatus (bark scorpion), 235 nucleotides. RefSeq lists it as uncharacterized. NCBI's taxonomy places the organism in Eukaryota, Metazoa, Arthropoda, Arachnida, Scorpiones, Buthidae. The record is from RefSeq and is a predicted model, not a curated record. The transcript is spliced from 3 exons.
CUCUUUUUAGAAAUGAACGGAUCAAUGCACAUACUUACUUUACUUAUUUCCAUACUUUUUACCUUGAUCUUUAUACUCUGGGGUUGUUCACUGUCUUGUUUCGCAUUUUCGAUGCAGAAUGGUUUUCAAGAUAUUCGUCAACUCGCAGAUUGUAGUCUUAAACUGGAACAGAAACUUAUGAUUUUAGAUUUUAUGAAGAGAUUUGGGAAAGUUUCCUUGUGUCUUUCAAUCGGUG